Molecule: non-coding RNA, 112 nt
Organism: Acanthosepion pharaonis
Lineage: Eukaryota; Metazoa; Mollusca; Cephalopoda; Sepiida; Sepiidae
Source: the annotation of a GenBank genome assembly
ACGGCCAUAUCACGUCGUAGCACCAGUUCCCGUACGAUUACCGAAGUUAAGCAACGUCGAGUCUGGUCAGUACCUAGAUGGGUGAUCUCCUGGGAAUACAAAGUGCUGUAAG